CACUACGCCAUAAUGGAUCAGCUAAAAAACGAUGCUUUCUAUAAUCAGUCCAUGCAAAUACAAGUCCCAAAUCCUCCCUUCACUGAUUUCCAUCAACAGCAACCACUGCCUUCUGUCUCUCAUGCCAGGUCCAGUCAAAGGCCAGAUUCAGAAGUCAAGGAUAGUGCAGCUGCAAGAAAAAUUCAGAAGGCUGAUCGUGAGAG
RNAcentral lists this unclassified non-coding RNA (203 nucleotides) under Hevea brasiliensis (rubber tree). The record is from RNAcentral. Lineage: Eukaryota; Viridiplantae; Streptophyta; Magnoliopsida; Malpighiales; Euphorbiaceae.